UAGGGAAUCUUCGGCAAUGGACGGAAGUCUGACCGAGCAACGCCGCGUGAGUGAAGAAGGUUUUCGGAUCGUAAAGCUCUGUUGUAAGAGAAGAACGAGUGUGAGAGUGGAAAGUUCACACUGUGACGGUAUCUUACCAGAAAGGGACGGCUAACUACGUGCCAGCAGCCGCGGUAAUACGUAGGUCCCGAGCGUUGUCCGGAUUUAUUGGGCGUAAAGCGAGCGCAGGCGGUUAGAUAAGUCUGAAGUUAAAGGCUGUGGCUUAACCAUAGUACGCUUUGGAAACUGUUUAACUUGAGUGCAAGAGGGGAGAGUGGAAUUCCAUGUGUAGCGGUGAAAUGCGUAGAUAUAUGGAGGAACACCGGUGGCGAAAGCGGCUCUCUGGCUUGUAACUGACGCUGAGGCUCGAAAGCGUGGGGAGCAAACAGGAUUAGAUACCCUGGUAGUCCACGCCGUAAACGAUGAGUGCUAGGUGUUAGACCCUUUCCGGGGUUUAGUGCCGUAGCUAACGCAUUAAGCACUCCGCCUGGGGAGUACGACCGCAGAGGUUG
Molecule: ribosomal RNA, 551 nt
Filed under: uncultured bacterium
Lineage: Bacteria
Description: bacterial SSU rRNA
Rfam family: Bacterial small subunit ribosomal RNA
Source: RNAcentral